UGCCCUGGAGGAGGGCAUGGCACCCCACUCCAGUAUUCUAGCCUGGAGAAUGCCAUGGACAGAGGAGCCUGGUGGGCUACAGUCCAUGGGGUCACAGAGGGUCAGACACGACUGAAGUGUCUGAGUACACUCACACAAUGCCAGGUGAACAGUGAGGAAACAGCAUCAGUGAAUAUCCUGUUGUGUGUUCACAGCUUGUCACCAUGGUUUUUCUCCUGGGUUAAGCCUAUAUCACUGUCAAGCUGACAGUCUUUUUUUAUCCUGAUUUCACGAGGGUCAGAGAUGCCCAUACAGGACAGGAACUGUCAGAAGGCCGUGGCUCUGGGUCUGAGAGUCGUGGCUCAAGAUUCCUUUGAGAUGGUUAGAAAGUGGGAGCUGACUGGUACCCUGGAUUCAGGUCAAAUACGACAGGAGGUGGGGAGAGAGGAGUACCCUGGGACACAAGCAGGUGGAAGGAACCGGGGGGCUUCUGGAACCCCCACGGGUGGUAGAGCACACAGGCCCAAUACCCCCAUGGUGAUGCUUUGAUCUCUUUGAGAGUCAUGCUCACGGCCUCCCCAGUUUCUCCAGCAGAGAUGCACACGCCUCCAUAAGAGCCCCAAGGCUUCUCCCCAACCCUGGGGAGAGGGGUUGAGAAACAGAUUGAGAAAUAGAUCAGAAUCUAACCUGCAGGCCUCUCGGGGGUUGGUGAAGCCUGGCGGCCUCUCUCCCCACCUGCUGCUCUUGGCCGUGGAUGGACCAUCCCAGCGACCCACUCAGUUCCCUGGAGCAGCCUUCCUGGCCUCCAGGGACACCCCCCGCCACGUCCUCUGCACUCACGCCACCCCCCAGGCCCACAGAGGCCCCACCGCACAUUAGCAGCACCCUCUUUCAGGCCCCACCCCAUCCUGCUUUGUUCCCCUCUGCCCCCCAUCCCCUGAGGCCACGCAGGAAUUUCCAAGUCCAUGCUCUCUGGAACCACACACCUAUUCUGUGAAGCUGUCGUGUGAAUCCUUGCUCGGUCCUGGAGGCAGGGAGGUUCAGGAGAGAGAGCGUUUAGUCUGGCCCGGGACGUUGCUGGGAUUUGUCCAGUGUCAGCUGGGUCUCUCUGCAAGGGUUUCAUUUUUUUUUUUUUUUUUUCAGGAAGAAAAAAAAUUGAGAAUUUUUUUUUUUUUUUUAAGAAAUCUUUAAAAAAGAUUCUCCAGGCAAGAAUACUGGAGUGGAUUGCCAUUUCCUCCUCCAGGGGAUCUUCCCGACCCAGGGAUCGAACCCGCGUCUCUCAGAUCUCCUGCCCAAGGGAACACCAGUUUAAAACUCAACCACCUUUCUCAGUGUGAAUCUAAAAGACACAGGGGUGACUGCAGAUAUGGAUCAUCUUGGCCCAGCUGCGUGUGUCAAGGUGCAAACAGCAGUUUGCAAAGUUGAAGACCAGAGAAGGACGUCUUGGGUUGUAAGGACGCCUGGACUGUGCACACUCAUGUAAGGCUGGACAACCCAGCUCUUCACUCUCAGGAAAACCUGCAGGCAGAUUCUUGACCACUGGACCACCUGGGAAGUCCCAGCUACUUUGAUAGAGGAAUGCCAGCUGAAGCAGUCAGCUCCACACAGCCAAACAGACUUAACCUGCAGUAAAGUGAGGUAUUGGCACUCUAACCCCUUGCUCCGAGCCCCGGAGUCCUGCGAUGAUGCACUCAGGUCUGUGGCCUGUGCAUUUCCAGCUUGCUAUUUUGGUCAUCUUUGGUAGCAGGAGGCCCCAUCCUUCCUGCUUAGGUGCCAAGACCCUAAGGCUUUCUCCUUCACAGGCCCCAGUGCCCGCUGAAGACAGAGCUUGCCCAGGACACACGCGGACACAUUAUCAUUGUUUUCUUCCUGGAGGUUAAGUAGUUUGUUUGCAGGGGGCUCCUUUUGCAAGGAAAGUAAGAAAGCUCAAGUCCUGCACAUCUGUUCAUUUCACAAGCACUGUGUGAGCACGUGGAUGGGUAGGUCGGUCCCCCAUUCUUUGUUUCUGGAUACACGUGUGUCCCCAGAGUACGGCUUGACUUAGACCCAACCAAUGAUCCAAAUGGUUACGUUUUAAUCAGAGGCUAAUUACUUUAUGAUGUUGUGGUGGUUUUUUUUUGCCAUACAUUAGCAUGAAUCAGCCACGGGUGUAUACAUGUGUCCCCCAGAUUAGCAAGGAAACACAAACUUUAGACGAUGUAAUGGACCAGUUAGACCUAAUUGACAUCUACAGGAUAUUUCACCCCAACGGGUUAUUUGACAUGUCCGUUCUAAGGAGCUUUGCUCCGGGUCUGGUGACGGGACUCGGUGCUGCUGUAGAACUGUGUCAUAAUUCCUUCCACAAGGGAAAGAGGGGAUCCAGAAGGGCGUGGCUCCAGUCAGUGAAGGAAUCUGUGGACGGUCUUGCAAGUCCGUGCACCUGGCGUGAGUAGCAGUGGCCUCCGUACCCUGUGUGAAGAUAAUAUUUAUCUGCUUGCAGUUACGGCCUCUUACGUGCUUCGCAUACUCAACGUGUAGUCGGUAUUUGCAAUGUGUCUGAAAGUUCCUCAGGAUUCUUGCAUGAACCAGAGUGUGGCAGAGAGCGUUCAUGUUGAACUUACAGAAUGUUGUUAGUAAGAACAACUUGGAACAACGUUUGAUUAAUGACCAAGGUGAGGAGGUCCUGGCAACCCACUCCAGUAUUCUUGCCUGGAGAACUCUGAGGACAGAGGAGCCUGGCAGGCUAUACAGUCGGUGGGAUCGCAAAGACUCAGACACAACUGAAGCAACUUAGCACAAUGACCAAGGUAAGAGUGAAUGAUCUUCUAUCAGUGUUUUCAUUUUGUUCAUAAGCUCCAUAACACUGUACACUUUCAAAGGUUAUACACUGUGUUUUGCAUCAGUUUAAAAGGUAUAUGCAAGCACUAUUCUGAAUGAUAGUGAUGGUGAUUUAGUCACUAAGUUGUGUCUGAGUCUAGCGACCCCCUGGACUGUAACCUGCCAGGCUCCUCUGUCCAUGGGAUUCUCCAGGCAAGAAUACUGGAGUGGGUUGCCACGCCCUGCUCCAGGGGAUCUUCCCGACCCAGGGAUGGAACCGGGGUCUCCUGCAUUACCAGGUGGAUUCUUUUACCAGCUGUGGUACCAGGGUCUUCUCUUAGUUCCUUCAGGCUGUUACAAUAGAAUACUACAGUCUGAGUGGCUUAUAAACCACAGACAACUCUUUCUUUCUCACAGCUGUGGAAGCUCUAAGUUCCAGAUCGAGGUGACAGUGGAUUCUGUGUCUGGUGAGAGCCCACCUCCUUCUUGGUUCAUAGAUGGCCCACCUCCUUCCUGGUUCACAAAGGGAUUUAAAAGCAUGUGGUUGAUUAUCUGGGAAACGUUACGUAAAUUGUUUCCUCAGUGUGAAAAAGGAAGGGCUUUUUAACAGAGUUGGUGUUUGUUAAUUCAUGUAUCCGUCUUACAAUGAAUAUUUGUUAAGUGUCUACUGUGUGCCAAACAUUGGGGUCAUCCCUGGAGGGAGAAAAGGAGUGAAUGGUCAUUUCCUCCCUUAUGGAAUGUGUAUUCUUUGGUAAAGACACACGUUAAGCACAUGAUUUGUGAAAAGUGAGCCGUGUGUCUCGUUACUGGACAUGAAGGAGUAACUCAUGUGACAUAGACAUGGGGAAUCAGUGUCCCUUCAUCCGUGAGGGAAACCCUUGAAUCAAGGUCGGAAGGAGGUAAGUGAAGACUUCUGUGUCAGAACCAAGUCAUCUAAGCCACUUCCUUAAUCACAGAAAUACACACAGUGAGGUCCUAACAGCUGGGGACUGAGGCCUCAUUUUCCCAGAUCCAUUUCCAGCUCAAUUUCUUCCCAUCACAUCCUAUUUUCUCGCCCAACCUACUCAGUAUAGGAGAAACGGUUUAAAAUGCAUUAGAUUGCAAUUUGUCUUAGGCUUUGUUGAUUUCAUUUGCCUUUCUUCCAUGUAGAUUUUAUUCAUGGGUGUUUAUCACUUGAUUGAAGUAAACUAUUUUAUUCAAAGUCAAUUAACCAAAUCUUUUUAAGGAAAAAAAAUUCUCUCUAUACCAUUUUCUAUUACUUACUGCUAUACCAGUUAAAACAGUGAAGGAAAAUGUGUUCCCUUGUAAAAAAAUAAUCAUAGCCGAGAAUGAAUUUGACCUCCCGAAAUACAUUUUAGAAUGCUUAAGUGUGUGUGGUAGCUCUUUUUCGUUCCUGAAAAGAACAAAGACGGAUUUAUCUAGAGAUUUCUUAGAACAACAUGCUUUUGGGGGCAAAAGUAGCAAUGAGAUGGACAAACCACAAAACAAAGCAAUGAAUUAAAAAAGUUGCAGUUAACCUAUUGUUUUUAAGAUAGAGCAUCUUAAAAUAUAAUCCACCAUACUAGAGAGUUAGGCAUCUGUUGUGCUGAAUGAUUUCGGUUCUUCAAUGAAACCAUUUAUAGUAUAGAAAUGAAAACAAGCUUGAAUUGUAAAAACUGAAAUUCUGAAAAACAAAGUUUAUAAUUGAGCUUUAGAUCCAUCCUUCCAUAUGAAUGGAUGAAAACUAAAUGAAUCUGAAAGGUAAGUGAAAAAGAAUAAUGAUAUGGUGAGUGUCUUAUACUCUUCCUUCGUGGUGAAUUGUUUAUAGAGAAUGAAUGAAGAGGAAGGCAGAUUGUACUAUUCCUGUUUCUAGACUGACUUUUGUAGUGUAUGUGGUGAGUUUUUGCUCUGCUAGCAUUUUAUUGGGAAGUAAUGCUGAAAUGGUCAUGCAUGUGCAGUGGGCAUGUAUAUAUGGAGUCAUGUAUGGAUGUGAGAGUUGGACUAUAAAGAAAGCUGAGCGCAGAAGAAUUGAUGCUUUUGAACCGUGGUGUUAGAGAAGACUCUUGAGAGUCCCUUGGACU
This is a long non-coding RNA of Bubalus bubalis (water buffalo), 4835 nucleotides long. RefSeq lists it as uncharacterized. The record is from RefSeq and is a predicted model, not a curated record. The transcript has 3 exons. NCBI's taxonomy places the organism in Eukaryota, Metazoa, Chordata, Mammalia, Artiodactyla, Bovidae.